UACUUGUACAAUGUCUUGAAACGU
Molecule: microRNA, 24 nt
Filed under: Bombyx mori (domestic silkworm)
Lineage: Eukaryota; Metazoa; Arthropoda; Insecta; Lepidoptera; Bombycidae
Description: bmo-miR-3370
Source: miRBase by way of RNAcentral